Molecule: ribosomal RNA, 497 nt
Filed under: uncultured bacterium
Lineage: Bacteria
Description: partial 16S ribosomal RNA
Rfam family: Bacterial small subunit ribosomal RNA
Source: RNAcentral
GAUGAACGCUGGCGGCGUGCCUAAUACAUGCAAGUCGAGCGAACAGAGGAGGAGCGCGCCCCGCUGACGCGAGCGACGGGCGGGUGAGGAACAGGUGGAUAACCGACAGAGGGGACUGGGGUAAGGACGGGGGACCGGAGCCAGUACCGGACAAGAGGGAGAAAGGGAGGGAUCAUUGGAGAAAGAGGGAUCUGCUGAGACUAAGAGGUGGAACCGAGCCGCAUUAGCUAGUUGGUAGGGUAACGGCCUACCAAGGCGACGAUGCGUAGCCGAUCUGAGAGGAUGAUCGGUCACACUGGAACUGAGACACGGUCCAGACUCCUACGGGAGGCAGCAGUGGGGAAUCUUCCGCAAUGGGCGAAAGCCUGACGCAGCCACGCCGCGUGUGUGAUGAAGGUCUUCGGAUCGUAAAGCUCUUUUAUUUGGGAAGAACAGCUGUGUGUGUAUCUCUGCCCGUCUUGACGGUACCUACUCAGAAAGCCCCGGCUAACUUCGUG